ACAUGCAAGUCGAACGGAGUAAUUCCUCGGGGAUAACUAGUGGCGACGGGUGAGUAACACGUGAGCAACCUGCCUUCAAGCGAGGAAUAAUGAGUGGAAACGCUCUGUAAUACCUCAUAACGAUUUUUACCGCAUGAUAGGAAUACCAAAGAUUUAUCACUUGAAGAUGGGCUCGCGUCCGAUUAGCUAGUUGGUGAGGUAACGGCUCACCAAGGCGACGAUCGGUAGCCGUACUGAGAGGUAGAUCGGCCACAUUGGGACUGAGACACGGCCCAGACUCCUACGGGAGGCAGCAGUGGGGAAUAUUGCACAAUGGAGGAAACUCUGAUGCAGCCGAUGCCGCGUGAGCGAAGAAGGCCUUUUGGUUGUAAAGCUCUGUUAUCAGGGACGAAAAUGACGGUACCUGAGGAGGAAGCUCCGGCUAACUACGUGCCAGCAGCUGC
RNAcentral lists this ribosomal RNA (443 nucleotides) under uncultured bacterium. RNAcentral's name for it is "bacterial SSU rRNA". It matches the Rfam family "Bacterial small subunit ribosomal RNA", at positions 53 to 518 of the family's 1533-position model. The record is from RNAcentral.